This 461-nucleotide ribosomal RNA is filed under the name uncultured bacterium. RNAcentral's name for it is "bacterial SSU rRNA". It matches the Rfam family "Bacterial small subunit ribosomal RNA", at positions 338 to 796 of the family's 1533-position model. The record is from RNAcentral.
CCUACGGGGGGCAGCAGUGAGGAAUAUUGGGCAAUGGACGCAAGUCUGACCCAGCCAUGCCGCGUGCAGGAUGACGGCCCUAUGGGUUGUAAACUGCUUUUCUGCAGGAAGAAAUGUUCCGACGUGUCGGAAUUUGACGGUACUGCAGGAAUAAGCAUCGGCUAACUCCGUGCCAGCAGCCGCGGUAAUACGGAGGAUGCAAGCGUUAUCCGGAUUUAUUGGGUUUAAAGGGUGUGUAGGCGGGAGAUUAAGUCAGUGGUGAAAUCCUACAGCUUAACUGUAGAACUGCCAUUGAUACUGGUUUUCUUGAGUAUAGUUGAAGUGGGCGGAAUGUGUAUUGUAGCGGUGAAAUGCUUAGAUAUUACACAGAACACCUAUUGCGAAGGCAGCUCACUAAACUAAUACUGACGCUGAUGCACGAAAGCGUGGGGAGCAAACAGGAUUAGAUACCCCAGUAGUCC